AGGACAACGCUGGCGGCGUGCUUAAUACAUGCAAGUCGAGCGAGGCCUUGGAAUUGGAGUCCUUCGGGAUGAAGAGUCCUUGGCCUAGCGGCGGACGGGUGAGUAACGCGUGGGCAACCUACCCCAAAGUCCGGGAUAACAGUGGGAAACCGCUGCUAAUACCGGAUGGCUUUACCUGAGGGCAUCCUUGGGUAAAGAAAGGUUACGCUUUGGGAUGGGCCCGCGUCCCAUUAGCUAGUUGGUGAGGUAACGGCUCACCAAGGCGACGAUGGGUAGCCGGCCUGAGAGGGUGAACGGCCACACUGGGACUGAGACACGGCCCAGACUCCUACGGGAGGCAGCAGUAGGGAAUAUUGCGCAAUGGGCGGAAGCCUGACGCAGCGACGCCGCGUGAGCGAAGAAGGCCUUCGGGUCGUAAAGCUCUGUCCUUGGGGAAGAAGGCGAAAGCUUGACGGUACCCAAGAAGAAAGCCCCGGCUAACUACGUG
RNAcentral lists this ribosomal RNA (487 nucleotides) under uncultured bacterium. RNAcentral describes it as "bacterial SSU rRNA". It matches the Rfam family "Bacterial small subunit ribosomal RNA", at positions 32 to 507 of the family's 1533-position model. The record is from RNAcentral.